Molecule: ribosomal RNA, 395 nt
Filed under: uncultured bacterium
Lineage: Bacteria
Description: bacterial SSU rRNA
Rfam family: Bacterial small subunit ribosomal RNA
Source: RNAcentral
UGGGGAAUCUUGCACAAUGGGGGCAACCCUGAUGCAGCGACGCCGCGUGAGCGAUGAAGCCCUUCGGGGCGUAAAGCUCUUUCGACCGGAACGAUAAUGACGGUACCGGGAGAAGAAGCUGCGGCUAACUACGUGCCAGCAGCCGCGGUAAUACGUAGGCAGCAAGCGUUGUUCGGAGUUACUGGGCGUAAAGAGUGCGUAGGCGGUUUUCUAAGUUCGGUGUGAAAUCUCCCGACUUAACUGGGAGGGUGCGCCGAAGACUGGGAAGCUGGAGUGUGGGAAAGGCAGGCGGAAUUCCUGGUGUAGCGGUGAAAUGCGUAGAUAUCAGGAGGAACACCAGCGAUGUAGACGGCUUGCUAGACCAUAACUGACGCUGAGGCACGAAAGCGUGGGUA